Ribosomal RNA from Piliocolobus tephrosceles (Ugandan red Colobus), 114 nucleotides. NCBI's taxonomy places the organism in Eukaryota, Metazoa, Chordata, Mammalia, Primates, Cercopithecidae. The record is from Ensembl.
AGCCCCAUUCCAUGCUGAAAGUGCUCAAUCUCGUCUGAUUUCAGAAGUUAAGCAGAGUCGGGCCUGGUUUGUACUUAGAUGGAAGAAGAGCGAAGCACAGAGAAGGUACAACUU